Molecule: ribosomal RNA, 1534 nt
Filed under: Christiangramia echinicola
Lineage: Bacteria; Pseudomonadati; Bacteroidota; Flavobacteriia; Flavobacteriales; Flavobacteriaceae
Description: bacterial SSU rRNA
Rfam family: Bacterial small subunit ribosomal RNA
Source: RNAcentral
UAACGAUGAAGAGUUUGAUCCUGGCUCAGGAUGAACGCUAGCGGCAGGCCUAACACAUGCAAGUCGAACGGUAACAGGGAAGAGCUUGCUCUUUCGCUGACGAGUGGCGCACGGGUGCGUAACGCGUAUACAAUCUGCCUUUAAGCGGGGAAUAGCCCAUGGAAACGUGGAUUAAUACCCCAUAGUAUGUAGACUUCACCUGGAGACUACAUUAAACAUUUAUGGCUUAAAGAUGAGUAUGCGUCCUAUUAGUUAGUUGGUAAGGUAACGGCUUACCAAGACCGCGAUAGGUAGGGGUCCUGAGAGGGAGAUCCCCCACACUGGUACUGAGACACGGACCAGACUCCUACGGGAGGCAGCAGUGAGGAAUAUUGGACAAUGGAGGCAACUCUGAUCCAGCCAUGCCGCGUGCAGGAAGACGGCCCUAUGGGUUGUAAACUGCUUUUAUACGGGAAGAACCACAUCUACGUGUAGAUGCUUGACGGUACCGUAUGAAUAAGGACCGGCUAACUCCGUGCCAGCAGCCGCGGUAAUACGGAGGGUCCAAGCGUUAUCCGGAAUCAUUGGGUUUAAAGGGUCCGUAGGCGGAAUAAUAAGUCAGUGGUGAAAGUCUGCAGCUCAACUGUAGAAUUGCCAUUGAUACUGUUAUUCUUGAAUUAUUAUGAAGUGGUUGGAAUGAGUAGUGUAGCGGUGAAAUGCAUAGAUAUUACUCAGAACACCUAUUGCGAAGGCAGAUCACUAAUAAUAUAUUGACGCUGAGGGACGAAAGCGUAGGUAGCGAACAGGAUUAGAUACCCUGGUAGUCUACGCCGUAAACGAUGGUUACUAGCUGUCCGGCCUAAUUGAGGGCUGGGUGGUUAAGCGAAAGUGAUAAGUAACCCACCUGGGGAGUACGUUCGCAAGAAUGAAACUCAAAGGAAUUGACGGGGGCCCGCACAAGCGGUGGAGCAUGUGGUUUAAUUCGAUGAUACGCGAGGAACCUUACCAGGGCUUAAAUGCAGUCUGACAGGCGUGGAAACAUGCCCUUCUUCGGACAGAUUGCAAGGUGCUGCAUGGUUGUCGUCAGCUCGUGCCGUGAGGUGUCAGGUUAAGUCCUAUAACGAGCGCAACCCCUGUUGUUAGUUGCCAGCGAGUCAUGUCGGGAACUCUAACGAGACUGCCGGUGCAAACCGCGAGGAAGGUGGGGAUGACGUCAAAUCAUCACGGCCCUUACGUCCUGGGCCACACACGUGCUACAAUGGUAGGGACAGAGGGCAGCUACCCCGCGAGGGGAUGCGAAUCUUCAAACCCUAUCACAGUUCGGAUCGCAGUCUGCAACUCGACUGCGUGAAGCUGGAAUCGCUAGUAAUCGCAUAUCAGCCAUGAUGCGGUGAAUACGUUCCCGGGCCUUGUACACACCGCCCGUCAAGCCAUGGAAGCCGGGGGUACCUGAAGUCCGUCACCGUAAGGAGCGGCCUAGGGUAAAACUGGUAACUGGGGCUAAGUCGUAACAAGGUAGCCGUACCGGAAGGUGCGGCUGGAACACCUCCUUUCU